UACAGAGGGGGCAAGCGUUGUUCGGAAUUACUGGGCGUAAAGGGCGCGUAGGCGGCCUUCUAAGUCGAACGUGAAAUCCCCGGGCUCAACCCGGGAACUGCGUCCGAUACUGGAAGGCUUGAAUCCGGGAGAGGGAUGCGGAAUUCCAGGUGUAGCGGUGAAAUGCGUAGAUAUCUGGAGGAACACCGGUGGCGAAGGCGGCCUUCUGGACGGUGACUGACGCUGAGGCGCGAAAGCGUGGGGAGCAAACGGG
This 253-nucleotide ribosomal RNA is filed under the name uncultured bacterium. RNAcentral describes it as "partial 16S ribosomal RNA". It matches the Rfam family "Bacterial small subunit ribosomal RNA", at positions 524 to 776 of the family's 1533-position model. The record is from RNAcentral.